GAUGAACGCUGGCGGCGUGCUUAACACAUGCAAGUCGGGGGGCAGCACGGUUAGCAAUAACUGGUGGCGACCGGCGCACGGGUGCGUAACACGUAUACAAUCUACCUUAAACAGGGGGAUAGCCUUUCGAAAGAGAGAUUAAUACCCCGUAAUAAAUUGAACGGCAUCGUUUGAUUUUGAAAGCUCCGGCGGUUUGAGAUGAGUAUGCGUCUGAUUAGCUAGUUGGUGAGGUAACGGCUCACCAAGGCGACGAUCAGUAGGGGAUCUGAGAGGACUAACCCCCCACACUGGUACUGAGACACGGACCAGACUCCUACGGGAGGCAGCAGUAAGGAAUAUUGGUCAAUGGAGGCAACUCUGAACCAGCCAUGCCGCGUGCAGGAUGACGGCCCUAUGGGUUGUAAACUGCUUUUAUACAAGAGAAAACCCUGGUACGUGUACCAGGUUGAUAGUAUUGUAAGAAUAAGCAUCGGCUAACUUCGUGCCAGCAGCCGCGGUAA
Molecule: ribosomal RNA, 500 nt
Filed under: uncultured bacterium
Lineage: Bacteria
Description: bacterial SSU rRNA
Rfam family: Bacterial small subunit ribosomal RNA
Source: RNAcentral